CGAACGCUGGCGGCGUGCCUAAUACAUGCAAGUCGAGCGAAGAGAUGGGAGCUUGCUCCCUGAUCUUAGCGGCGGACGGGUGAGUAACACGUGGGCAACCUGCCCUGCAGACUGGGAUAACUCCGGGAAACCGGAGCUAAUACCGGGUAAUACAUCGCACCGCAUGGUGCAAUGUUGAAAGUUGGCUUUCUGAGCUAACACUGCAGGAUGGGCCCGCGGCGCAUUAGCUAGUUGGUAAGGUAAUGGCUUACCAAGGCGACGAUGCGUAGCCGACCUGAGAGGGUGAUCGGCCACACUGGGACUGAGACACGGCCCAGACUCUACGGGAGGCAGCAGUAGGGAAUCUUCCGCAAUGGACGAAAGUCUGACGGAGCAACGCCGCGUGAGUGACGAAGGCUUCGGGUCGUAAAGCUCUGUUGUUAGGGAAGAACAAGUACCGUUCGAAUAGGGCGGUACCUUGACGGUACCUAACCAGAAAGCCACGGCUAACUACGUGCCAGCAGCCGCGGUAAUACGUAGGUGGCAAGCGUUGUCCGGAAUUAUUGGGCGUAAAGCGCGCGCAGGCGGUCUUUUAAGUCUGAUGUGAAAAGCCCACGGCUCAACCGUGGAGGGUCAUUGGAAACUGGAGGACUUGAGUGCAGAAGAGGAGAGUGGAAUUCCACGUGUAGCGGUGAAAUGCGUAGAUAUGUGGAGGAACACCAGUGGCGAAGGCGGCUCUCUGGUCUGUAACUGAGCCUGAGGCGCGAAAGCGUGGGGAGCAAACAGGAUUAGAUACCCUGGUAGUCCACGCCGUAAACGAUGAGUGCUAGGUGUUGGGGGGUUCCACCCUCAGUGCUGAAGUUAACACAUUAAGCACUCCGCCUGGGGAGUACGACCGCAAGGUUGAAACUCAAAGGAAUUGACGGGGGCCCGCACAAAGCAGUGGAGCAUGUGGUUUAAUUCGAAGCAACGCGAAGAUCCUUACCAGGUCUUGAGCAUCCUCUUGACAAUCCUGGAGACAGGACGGGUUCUUCGGGCGGCAGAGUGACAGGUGGUGCAUGGUUGUCGUCAGCUCGUGUCGUGAGAUGUUGGGUUAAGUCCCGCAACGAGCGCACCCUUGAUCUUAGUUGGCCAGCAUUAGUUGGGNUCUCUAAGGUGACUGCC
RNAcentral lists this ribosomal RNA (1143 nucleotides) under Bacillus sp. GP-4. RNAcentral's name for it is "bacterial SSU rRNA". It matches the Rfam family "Bacterial small subunit ribosomal RNA", at positions 30 to 1153 of the family's 1533-position model. Lineage: Bacteria; Bacillati; Bacillota; Bacilli; Caryophanales; Bacillaceae. The record is from RNAcentral.